UUCGAUCCUGGCUCAGAUUGAACGCUGGCGGGAUGCUACAUGCAAGUCGAACGGCAGCACGGACUUCGGUCUGGUGGCGAGUGGCAGACAGGUGAGUAAUGUAUCGGAACGUGCCUAGUAGCGGGGAUAACUACGCGAAAGCGUAGCUACGCUCCACCUGCCACGCUUCAGCGGGGAAGACGGGGGACCUUCGGGCCUCGCACUGGUAAAACAGCCGAUAUCGGAUUAGCUAUUAGUUGGUGGGGUAACGGCUCACCAAGGCGACGAUCCGUAGCUGGUUUGAGAGGACGACCAGCCACACUGGGACUGAGACACGGCCCAGACUCCUGCAGGAGGUAGCAGUGGGAAUUUUGGACAAUGGGGGAAACCUGAUCCAGCCAUCCCGCGUGUGCGAUGAAGGCCUUCGGGUUGUAAAAGCAUGGCGGAAAGAAACGGCACGGGAUAAUACCACGUGCAACUGACAACCACCUGCAGAAUAAGCACCGGCUAACUACGUGCCAGCAGCCGCGGUGAUACGUAGGGUGCAAGCGUUAAUCGGAAUUACUGGGCGUAAAGCGUGCGCAGGCGGUUCGGAAAGAAGAUGUAGAAAUCCAGAGCUUAACUUUGGAACUGCAUUUUUUAACUACCGAGCUAGAGUGUGUCAGAGGAGGUGGAAUUCCGCGUGUAGCAGUGAAAUGCGUAGAUAUGCGGAGGAACACCGAUGGCGAAGGCAGCCUCCUGGGAUAACACUGACGCUCAUGCACGAAAGCGUGGGAGCAAACAGGAUUAGAUACCCUGGUAGUCCACGCCCUAAACGAUGUCAACUGGCUAUUUGGGGCCUUCGGGCCUUGGUAGCGCAACUAACGCGUGAAGUUGACCGCCUGGGGAGUACGGUCGCAAGAUUAAAACUCAAAGGAAUUGACGGGGACCCGCACAAGCGGUGGAUGAUGUGGAUUAAUUCGAUGCAACGCGAAAAACCUUACCUACCCUUGACAUGUCUGGAAUCCCGAAGAGAUUUGGGAGUGCUCGCAAGAGAACCGGAACACAGGUGCUGCAUGGCUGUCGUCAGCUCGUGUCGUGAGAUGUUGGGUUAAGUCCCGCAACGAGCGCAACCCUUGUCAUUAGUUGCUACGAGGGGCACUCUAAUGAGACUGCCGGUGACAGAAUAGCCGAAGGAAGGUGGGGAUAGCGUCAAGUCCUCAUGGCCCAUAUGGGUAGGGCUUCACACGUCAUACAAUGGUCGGGACAGAGGUCGCCAACCCGCGAGGGGGAGCCAAUCCCAGAAACCCGAUCAUAGUCCGGAUCGCAGUCUGCAACUCGACUGCGUGAAGUCGGAAUCGCUAGUAAUCGCGGAUCAGCAUGUCGCGGUGAAUACGUUCCCGGGUCUUGUACACACCGCCCGUCACACCAUGGGAGUGGGUUUUACCAGAAGUAGUUAGCCUAACCGUAAGGAGGGCGAUUACCACGGUAGGAUUCAUGACUGGGGUGAAGUCGUAACAAGGUAA
This 1484-nucleotide ribosomal RNA is filed under the name uncultured Bordetella sp. Its description in RNAcentral is "partial 16S-23S ribosomal RNA intergenic spacer". It matches the Rfam family "Bacterial small subunit ribosomal RNA". The record is from RNAcentral. Lineage: Bacteria; Pseudomonadati; Pseudomonadota; Betaproteobacteria; Burkholderiales; Alcaligenaceae.